Molecule: ribosomal RNA, 252 nt
Filed under: uncultured bacterium
Lineage: Bacteria
Description: partial 16S ribosomal RNA
Rfam family: Bacterial small subunit ribosomal RNA
Source: RNAcentral
UACGAAGGGGGCUAGGCGUUGUUCGGAAUUACUGGGCGUAAAGCGCACGUAGGCGGAUAUUUAAGUCGGGGGUGAAAUCCCGGGGCUCAACCCCGGAACUGCCUUCGAUACUGGGUAUCUUGAGUUCGGAAGAGGUGAGUGGAAUUGCGAGUGUAGAGGUGAAAUUCGUAGAUAUUCGCAGGAACACCAGUGGCGAAGGCGGCUCACUGGACCACACUGACGCUGAGGUGCGAAAGCGUGGGGAGCAACAGG